RNAcentral lists this ribosomal RNA (904 nucleotides) under Pireneitega luctuosa. Its description in RNAcentral is "SSU rRNA". It matches the Rfam family "Eukaryotic small subunit ribosomal RNA", at positions 14 to 917 of the family's 1831-position model. Lineage: Eukaryota; Metazoa; Arthropoda; Arachnida; Araneae; Agelenidae. The record is from RNAcentral.
CUGCCAGUAGUCAUAUGCUUGUCUCAAAGAUUAAGCCAUGCAUGUCUAAGUACAUGCCGUAUUAAGGCGAAACCGCGAAUGGCUCAUUAAAUCAGUCAUGGUUCCUUGGAUCGUACCUUACUACUUGGAUAACUGUGGCAAUUCUAGAGCUAAUACAUGCAGCAGAGCUCCGACCUUCGGGGACGAGCGCUUUUAUUAGACCAAAACCAAUCGGACCUCGUGUCCGUCCUUUGUGGUGACUCUGUAUAACUUUGGGCUGAUCGCACGGGCCUGUCCCGGCGACGUAUCUUUCAAGUGUCUGCCUUAUCAACUUUCGAUGGUAGGUUACGCGCCUACCAUGGUCGUAACGGGUAACGGGGAAUCAGGGUUCGAUUCCGGAGAGGGAGCCUGAGAAACGGCUACCACAUCCAAGGAAGGCAGCAGGCGCGCAAAUUACCCACUCCCAGAACGGGGAGGUAGUGACGAAAAAUAACAAUACGGGACUCUUUUGAGACCCCGUAAUUGGAAUGAGUACACUCUAAAUCCUUUAACGAGGAUCCAUUGGAGGGUAAGUCUGGUGCCAGCAACCGCGGUAAUUCCAGCUCCAAUAGCGUAUAUUAAAGUUGUUGCGGUUAAAAAGCUCGUAGUUGGAUCUCAGUUCCAGACGGGUGGUCCGCCUACCGGUGGUUACUGCCUGUUCUGAACAGUCAGCCGGUUUCUCUUGAUGAUCUUCACCGGUUGUCUUGGGUGACCGGCAAGUUUACUUUGAAAAAAUUAGAGUGCUCAAAGCAGGCGUGACGCCUGAAUAAUGGUGCAUGGAAUAAUGGAAUAGGACCUCGGUUCUAUUUUGUUGGUUUUCGGAACACGAGGUAAUGAUUAAGAGGGACAGACGGGGGCAUUCGUAUUGCGACGCUAGAGGUGAAAU